UCCGGUUUGGCACCGGCAGUCCGCCCAGAGUCCUCAGCGAGCUGAUCUCCUUGUUGCCAAAGAGGGCUCCUGCUAGCAACUGGACGCGGGGGUUGCGCUCGUUGCGGGACUUAACCCAACAUCUCACGACACGAGCUGACGACAGCCAUGCAGCACCUGUGCAUGGACUCCGAAGAGAAGCCUCGGUUUCUCGAGGCGGUCCCAUGCAUGUCAAGCCCGGGUAAGGUUCUUCGCGUUGCGUCGAAUUAAACCACAUGCUCCACCGCUUGUGCGGGCCCCCGUCAAUUCCUUUGAGUUUCAGCCUUGCGGCCGUACUCCCCAGGCGGGGCACUUAAUGCGUUAGCGCCGGCACUCGGAGGGUCGCUCCCCCGAGCACCUAGUGCCCAUCGUUUACGGCGUG
Molecule: unclassified non-coding RNA, 400 nt
Filed under: uncultured Gemmatimonadaceae bacterium
Lineage: Bacteria; Pseudomonadati; Gemmatimonadota; Gemmatimonadia; Gemmatimonadales; Gemmatimonadaceae
Description: contains 16S-23S intergenic spacer region
Source: RNAcentral